RNAcentral lists this transfer RNA (71 nucleotides) under Alytes muletensis (Mallorcan midwife toad). RNAcentral's name for it is "tRNA-Ile". It matches the Rfam family "tRNA". From Rfam's summary of the family: Transfer RNA (tRNA) molecules are approximately 80 nucleotides in length. Their secondary structure includes four short double-helical elements and three loops (D, anti-codon, and T loops). Lineage: Eukaryota; Metazoa; Chordata; Amphibia; Anura; Alytidae. The record is from RNAcentral.
GGAAACGUGCCCGAAAGUCAGGGAUUACUUUGAUAGAGUAGACCAUAGGGGUUCAAACCCCCUCAUUUCCU